Xyrichtys novacula (pearly razorfish) is the source of this 322-nucleotide non-coding RNA. Lineage: Eukaryota; Metazoa; Chordata; Actinopteri; Labriformes; Labridae. The record is from the annotation of a GenBank genome assembly.
GUCCACCUGCCGCUCUGUGUAUGUGUAUGAGUGUGUGCGCGCAGCUGUGCGCACAGCUGUGCGCGAGCGAGGCUUUUGGUGCGUGUGUGAUGGGGGCGUGACUGUUAGGACAAAAAAAAGCAUGUUUUGAAACUUUGUUCGUCCACCUAAUAACAAUUUAGUCUCGUCUCGUUCUCGUCUGACGAAAAUCAAUACAAUUUUCGUCACAUUUUAGUCUUUACAGAGCUUUGGUGACGUUCGUCUUAGUCUCAUUUUCGUCAAGGAAAAAAGGGGUCUGACGUCGUCAUUUAAGUUUUCGUCCUGCCUGACGAAAACAACACUG